This 490-nucleotide ribosomal RNA is filed under the name uncultured bacterium. RNAcentral's name for it is "partial 16S ribosomal RNA". It matches the Rfam family "Bacterial small subunit ribosomal RNA", at positions 30 to 507 of the family's 1533-position model. The record is from RNAcentral.
AUUGAACGCUGGCGGCAGGCCUAACACGUGCAAGUCGAACGGUAACAGGAAGAAGCUUGCUUCUUUGCUGACGAGUGGCGGACGGGUGAGUAAUGUCUGGGAAACUGCCUGGUGGAGGGGGAUAACUACUGGAAACGGUAGCUAAUACCGCAUAACGUCGCAAGACCAAAGAGGGGGACCUUCGGGCCUCUUGCCAUCGGAUGUGCCCAGAUGGGAUUAGCUAGUAGGUGGGGUAACGGCUCACCUAGGCGACGAUCCCUAGCUGGUCUGAGAGGAUGACCAGCCACACUGGAACUGAGACACGGUCCAGACUCCUACGGGAGGCAGCAGUGGGGAAUAUUGCACAAUGGGCGCAAGCCUGAUGCAGCCAUGCCGCGUGUAUGAAGAAGGCCUUCGGGUUGUAAAGUACUUUCAGCGGGGAGGAAGGGAGUAAAGUUAAUACCUUUGCUCAUUGACGUUACCCGCAGAAGAAGCACCGGCUAACUCCGUG